UUAAGUGACUAAGCGUACACGGUGGAUGCCUUGGCAGUUGGAGGCGAUGAAGGACGUACUAACUUGCGAUAAGCCUAGUCAAGCCAGUAAGAGGCGCUUGAGACUAGGAUUUCCGAAUGGGGAAACCCACCUGCUUGCAGGUAUCGUUAACUGAAUACAUAGGUUAACGAGGCGAACGCGGAGAACUGAAACAUCUAAGUACCCGUAGGAAAAGAAAUCAACCGAGAUUCCGAAAGUAGCGGCGAGCGAAAUCGGAGCAGCCCUUAAGCUUUAGUGUAGUUAGUGGAAGAUGCUGGAAAGCAUGACGAAACAGGGUGAUAGUCCCGUACACAAAAACUUAUCUAAAGUGAAAUCGAGUAGGUCGGAGCACGUGAAACUUUGACUGAAUAUGGGGGGACCAUCCUCCAAGGCUAAAUACUCCCAACUGACCGAUAGUGAACCAGUACCGUGAGGGAAAGGCGAAAAGAACCCCUGUGAGGGGAGUGAAAUAGAACCUGAAACCGUGUACGUACAAGCAGUAGGAGCCUACUUGUUGGGUGACUGCGUACCUUUUGUAUAAUGGGUCAGCGACUUAUAUUCUGUAGCGAGGUUAACCAUUUAGGGGAGCCGUAGCGAAAGCGAGUCUUAACUGGGCGCUUAAGUUGCAGGGUAUAGACCCGAAACCCGGUGAUCUAGCCAUGGGCAGGUUGAAGGUUGAGUAACAUCAACUGGAGGACCGAACCCACUAACGUUGAAAAGUUAGGGGAUGACCUGUGGCUAGGAGUGAAAGGCUAAUCAAACCGGGAGAUAGCUGGUUCUCCCCGAAAUCUAUUUAGGUAGAGCCUCGGACGAAUACUUACGGGGGUAGAGCACUGUUAAGGCUAGGGGGUCAUCCCGACUUACCAACCCUUUGCAAACUCCGAAUACCGUAAAGUAAUAUCCGGGAGACACACGGCGGGUGCUAACGUCCGUCGUGGAGAGGGAAACAACCCAGACCGUCAGCUAAGGUCCCAAAGUGUAUGUUAAGUGGGAAACGAUGUGGGAAGGCUAAAACAGCUAGGAGGUUGGCUUAGAAGCAGCCACCCUUUAAAGAAAGCGUAAUAGCUCACUAGUCGAGUCGGCCUGCGCGGAAGAUGUAACGGGGCUAAACAUACCACCGAAGCUACGGCUGCGUACGUAAGUAUGCGGGGUAGGGGAGCGUUCUGUAAGUGGCUGAAGGUGUGCCGGGAGGCAUGCUGGACAUAUCAGAAGUGCGAAUGCUGACAUGAGUAACGACAAGAGGAGUGAAAAACUCCUCCGCCGGAAGACCAAGGGUUCCUAUCCCAUGUUAAUCAGGGUAGGGUGAGUCGACCCCUAAGGCGAGGCUGAAGAGCGUAGUCGAUGGGAAACGGGUUAAUAUUCCCGUACUCGGUAUGAAUGCGAUGGGGGGACGGAGCAGGCUAGGCAAGCAUGGCGUUGGUUGUCCAUGUGAAAGGCUGUAGGCUGGUGACUUAGGAAAAUCCGGGUUGCCAAGGCUGAGAGUCGAGACGAGCCACUAAGGUGGUGAAGUUGUUGAUGCCCUACUUCCAGGAAAAGCCUCUAAGCUUCAGUUCAUACUGAAUCGUACCCUAAACCGACACAGGUGGUCAGGUAGAGAAUACUAAGGCGCUUGAGAGAACUCGGGUGAAGGAACUAGGCAAAAUUGUACCGUAACUUCGGGAGAAGGUACGCUCUUGUUUGUGAAGGACUUGCUCUGUAAGCAAACGAGAGCCGCAGUGACCAGGUGGCUGGGACUGUUUAUUAAAAACACAGCACUGUGCAAAAUCGUAAGAUGACGUAUACGGUGUGACACCUGCCCGGUGCCGGAAGGUUAAUUGAUGGGGUUAGCUUAGGCGAAGCUCUUGAUCGAAGCCCCGGUAAACGGCGGCCGUAACUAUAACGGUCCUAAGGUAGCGAAAUUCCUUGUCGGGUAAGUUCCGACCUGCACGAAUGGUGUAACCAUGGCCACGCUGUCUCCACCCGAGACUCAGUGAAAUUGAAAUCGCAGUGAAGAUGCUGUGUACCCGCGGCUAGACGGAAAGACCCCGUGAACCUUUACUACAGCUUGGCACUGAACAUUGACCCUACAUGUGUAGGAUAGGUGGGAGGCUUUGAAGCAGGAACGCUAGUUUCUGUGGAGCCGACCUUGAAAUACCACCCUUGUAGUGUUGAUGUUCUAACUUAGGCCCCUGAAUCGGGGUUGAGGACAGUGCCUGGUGGGUAGUUUGACUGGGGCGGUCUCCUCCCAAAGAGUAACGGAGGAGCACGAAGGUUUGCUAAGUACGGUCGGACAUCGUACGGUUAGUGUAAUGGUAGAAGCAAGCUUAACUGCGAGACAGACACGUCGAGCAGGUACGAAAGUAGGUCAUAGUGAUCCGGUGGUUCUGAAUGGAAGGGCCAUCGCUCAACGGAUAAAAGGUACUCCGGGGAUAACAGGCUGAUACCGCCCAAGAGUUCAUAUCGACGGCGGUGUUUGGCACCUCGAUGUCGGCUCAUCACAUCCUGGGGCUGAAGUCGGUCCCAAGGGUAUGGCUGUUCGCCAUUUAAAGUGGUACGCGAGCUGGGUUUAGAACGUCGUGAGACAGUUCGGUCCCUAUCUGCCGUGGGCGUUUGAGAAUUGAGAGGGGCUGCUCCUAGUACGAGAGGACCGGAGUGGACGAACCACUGGUGUUCGGGUUGUGAUGCCAAUUGCAUUGCCCGGUAGCUACGUUCGGAACUGAUAACCGCUGAAAGCAUCUAAGCGGGAAGCAGGCCUCGAGAUGAGUUCUCACUUUGACUUAGAGUCAACUGAAGGGCCGUUGAAGACUACAACGUUGAUAGGCGAGAUGUGGAAGUGCUGUGAGGCAUUAAGCUAACUCGUACUAAUUACCCGAGAGGCUUAACCAU
RNAcentral lists this ribosomal RNA (2883 nucleotides) under Pseudoalteromonas sp. NC201. RNAcentral describes it as "bacterial LSU rRNA". It matches the Rfam family "Bacterial large subunit ribosomal RNA". Lineage: Bacteria; Pseudomonadati; Pseudomonadota; Gammaproteobacteria; Alteromonadales; Pseudoalteromonadaceae. The record is from RNAcentral.